CCUACGGGAGGCAGCAGUGAGGAAUAUUGGUCAAUGGGCGGAAGCCUGAACCAGCCAAGCAGCGUGCAGGAUGACGGCCCUACGGGUUGUAAACUGCUUUUAUACGGGAACAACGCGCCUUACGUGUAGGGCUUUGCAUGUACCGUAUGAAUAAGGACCGGCUAAUUCCGUGCCAGCAGCCGCGGUAAUACGGAAGGUCAGGGCGUUAUCCGGAUUUAUUGGGUUUAGGGGUAGCGUAGGCCGCAUGUCACGCGUGCUGUGAAAUGUCCGGGCUCAACCCGGGCCUUGCAGCGCGAACUGGCGUGCUUGAGUCCGCGGAAGGCAGGCGGAAUU
Molecule: ribosomal RNA, 333 nt
Filed under: uncultured bacterium
Lineage: Bacteria
Description: partial 16S ribosomal RNA
Rfam family: Bacterial small subunit ribosomal RNA
Source: RNAcentral